UACGUAGGGGGCGAGCGUUGUCCGGAAUUAUUGGGCGUAAAGAGCGUGUAGGCGGUUCGGUAAGUCUGCCGUGAAAACCUGGGGCUCAACCCCGGGCGUGCGGUGGAUACUGCCGGGCUAGAGGGUGGUAGAGGCGAGUGGAAUUCCCGGUGUAGCGGUGAAAUGCGCAGAUAUCGGGAGGAACACCUAUGGCGAAGGCAGCUCGCUGGGACGUUACUGACGCUGAGACGCGAAAGCGUGGGGAGCAAACAGG
This 253-nucleotide ribosomal RNA is filed under the name uncultured bacterium. RNAcentral describes it as "partial 16S ribosomal RNA". It matches the Rfam family "Bacterial small subunit ribosomal RNA", at positions 524 to 776 of the family's 1533-position model. The record is from RNAcentral.